GUGCUCACUUUUGCAGCACCUAUAUUAAAAUUGGAACAAUACAGAGAAGAUUAGCAUGAACCCUGCACUAGCAUGGCACAUAAUACAAGACAAUGGAACAAUUUAUUU
This is a small nuclear RNA of Sceloporus undulatus (fence lizard), 108 nucleotides long. NCBI's taxonomy places the organism in Eukaryota, Metazoa, Chordata, Lepidosauria, Squamata, Phrynosomatidae. The record is from RefSeq and is a predicted model, not a curated record.